UGGUAAAAAGCUCGUAGUUGGAUCUCAACAGCCUUGAAGCGGUUAACUUUGUAGUUUUACUGCUUUAUAGGCUGUGCUUUUGCUGGAGGUUUAGGGGUGCUCUUGAUCGAGUGUCUCUGGAUGCCAGCAGGUUUACUUUGAAAAAAUUAGAGUGCUCAAAGCAGGCUAAAAUGCCUGAAUAUUCGUGCAUGGAAUAAUAGAAUAGGAUGUCGAUCCUAUUUUGUUGGUUUUCGGGACUCGACAUAAUGAUAAAUAGGGACAGUCGGGGGCAUUUGUAUUCAAACGACAGAGGUGAAAUUCUUGGACCGUUUGAAGACAAACUACUGCGAAAGCAUUUGCCAAGAAUGUUUUCAUUAAUCAAGAACGAAAGUUAGAGGUUCGAAGGCGAUUAGAUACCGCCCUAGUUCUAACCAUAAACGAUGCCAGCUAGCGAUCUGCCUGCGUUUUUACUGUAGACUGGGCAGGAAGCUUCCGGGAAACCAAAGCAUUUGGGUUCCAGGGGAAGUAUGGUUGCAAAGCUGAAACUUAAAGGAAUUGACGGAAGGGCACCACCAGGAGUGGAGCCUGUGGCUUAAUUUGACUCAACACGGGAAAUCUCACCAGGCCCGGAC
Molecule: ribosomal RNA, 611 nt
Filed under: uncultured marine eukaryote
Lineage: Eukaryota
Description: SSU rRNA
Rfam family: Eukaryotic small subunit ribosomal RNA
Source: RNAcentral